UAGUCCACGCCGUAAACGAUGAAUACUAGGUGUCGGGGAGUACUGCUCUUCGGUGCCGCCGCUAACGCAUUAAGUAUUCCACCUGGGGAGUACGUUCGCAAGAAUAAAACUCAAAGGAAUUGACGGGACCCGCACAAGCGGUGGAGCAUGUGGUUUAAUUCGAAGCAACGCGAAGAACCUUACCAAAUCUUGACAUCCUUAUGACCGACACUUAAUCGUGUCUUCUCUUCGGAGCAUAAGAGACAGGUGGUGCAUGGUUGUCGUCAGCUCGUGUCGUGAGAUGUUGGGUUAAGUCCCGCAACGAGCGCAACCCUUAUCUUUAGUAGCCAGCAGUUCGGCUGGGCACUCUAGAGAGACUGCCGGGGAUAACCCGGGAGGAAGGUGGGGAUGACGUCAAAUCAUCAUGCCCCUUAUGAUUUGGGGCUACACACGUGCUACAAUGGGCGUAAACAAAGGGGAAGCAACUCCGUGAGGGACAAGCAAAUCCCAAAAAAUAACGUCUCAGUUCGGGAUUGUAG
RNAcentral lists this ribosomal RNA (518 nucleotides) under uncultured bacterium. Its description in RNAcentral is "bacterial SSU rRNA". It matches the Rfam family "Bacterial small subunit ribosomal RNA", at positions 791 to 1303 of the family's 1533-position model. The record is from RNAcentral.